AGGGGAUUAGCUCAGUUGUUAGAGUGCUUGCUUAGCAUGCGAGAAUUAGCGGGAUCGAUGCCCGCAUCCUCCA
This is a non-coding RNA of Ameiurus melas (black bullhead), 73 nucleotides long. Lineage: Eukaryota; Metazoa; Chordata; Actinopteri; Siluriformes; Ictaluridae. The record is from the annotation of a GenBank genome assembly.